AUUGAACGCUGGCGGCAGGCCUAACACAUGCAAGUCGAGCGGAUGAAGGGAGCUUGCUCCUGGAUUCAGCGGCGGACGGGUGAGUAAUGCCUAGGAAUCUGCCUGGUAGUGGGGGAUAACGUCCGGAAACGGGCGCUAAUACCGCAUACGUCCUGAGGGAGAAAGUGGGGGAUCUUCGGACCUCACGCUAUCAGAUGAGCCUAGGUCGGAUUAGCUAGUUGGUGGGGUAAAGGCCUACCAAGGCGACGAUCCGUAACUGGUCUGAGAGGAUGAUCAGUCACACUGGAACUGAGACACGGUCCAGAGUCCUACGGGAGGGAGCAGUGGGGAAUAUUGGACAAUGGGCGAAAGCCUUGUCCAGCCAUGCCGCGUGUGUGAAGAAGGUCUUCGGAUUGUAAAGCACGUUAAGUUGGGAGGAAGGGCAGUAAGUUAAUACCUUGCUGUUUUGACGUUACCAACAGAAUAAGCACCGGCUAACUUCGUG
Molecule: ribosomal RNA, 484 nt
Filed under: uncultured bacterium
Lineage: Bacteria
Description: partial 16S ribosomal RNA
Rfam family: Bacterial small subunit ribosomal RNA
Source: RNAcentral